This 495-nucleotide ribosomal RNA is filed under the name uncultured bacterium. RNAcentral's name for it is "partial 16S ribosomal RNA". It matches the Rfam family "Bacterial small subunit ribosomal RNA", at positions 30 to 507 of the family's 1533-position model. The record is from RNAcentral.
UGAACGCUGGCGGCGUGCCUAAUACAUGCAAGUCGAGCGAACAGACGAGGAGCUUGCUCCUCUGACGUUAGCGGCGGACGGGUGAGUAACACGUGGAUAACCUACCUAUAAGACUGGGAUAACUUCGGGAAGCCGGAGCUAAUACCGGAUAAUAUAUUGAACCGCAUGGUUCAAUAGUGAAAGACGGUUUUGCUGUCACUUAUAGAUGGAUCCGCGCCGCAUUAGCUAGUUGGUAAGGUAACGGCUUACCAAGGCAACGAUGCGUAGCCGACCUGAGAGGGUGAUCGGCCACACUGGAACUGAGACACGGUCCAGACUCCUACGGGAGGCAGCAGUAGGGUAUCUUCCGCAAUGGGCGAAAGCCUGACGGAGCAACGCCGCGUGAGUGAUGAAGGUCUUCGGAUCGUAAAACUCUGUUAUUAGGGAAGAACAAAUGUGUAAGUAACUAUGCACGUCUUGACGGUACCUAAUCAGAAAGCCACGGCUAACUACGUG